UACGUAGGGGGCAAGCGUUGUCCGGAUUUAUUGGGCGUAAAGAGCGUGUAGGCGGCCAGACAGGUCCGUUGUGAAAACUCGAGGCUCAACCUCGAGAUGUCGAUGGAAACCGUCUGGCUAGAGUCCGGAAGAGGAGUGUGGAAUUCCUGGUGUAGCGGUGAAAUGCGUAGAUAUCGGGAGGAACACCUGCGGUGUAGACGGCUUACUGGACCGUAACUGACGCUGAGGCACGAAAGCGUGGGUAGCAAACAGG
Molecule: ribosomal RNA, 253 nt
Filed under: uncultured bacterium
Lineage: Bacteria
Description: partial 16S ribosomal RNA
Rfam family: Bacterial small subunit ribosomal RNA
Source: RNAcentral